CAGCAGCCACGGUAAUACGUAGGUCCCGAGCGUUGUCCGGAUUUAUUGGGCGUAAAGCGAGCGCAGGCGGUUAGAUAAGUCUGAAGUUAAAGGCUGUGGCUUAACCAUAGUACGCUUUGGAAACUGUUUAACUUGAGUGCAGAAGGGGAGAGUGGAAUUCCAUGUGUAGCGGUGAAAUGCGUAGAUAUAUGGAGGAACACCGGUGGCGAAAGCGGCUCUCUGGUCUGUAACUGACGCUGAGGCUCGAAAGCGUGGGGAGCAAACAGGAUUAGAUACCCGUGUAGUCCCUGUCUCUUAUACA
Molecule: ribosomal RNA, 301 nt
Filed under: uncultured bacterium
Lineage: Bacteria
Description: partial 16S ribosomal RNA
Rfam family: Bacterial small subunit ribosomal RNA
Source: RNAcentral